Molecule: ribosomal RNA, 200 nt
Filed under: uncultured bacterium
Lineage: Bacteria
Description: partial 16S ribosomal RNA
Rfam family: Bacterial small subunit ribosomal RNA
Source: RNAcentral
GCUCGGACUGCAGGCUGCAACUCGCCUGCACGAAGCCGGAGUUGCUAGUAAUCGCGGAUCAGAAUGCCGCGGUGAAUGCGUUCCCGGGUCUUGUACACACCGCCCGUCACACCAUGGAAGUUGGGGGUGCCCAAAGCCGGCAGGGAAAUAUGCUGUCUAAGGCAAAACCAAUGACUGGGGUGAAGUCGUAACAAGGUAUC